CAGAGCGUAGCUAAGUAGUAAAGCAUUUCCCUUACACCGAAAAGACAUCCAUGCGAACUGGAUCGCCCUGA
RNAcentral lists this transfer RNA (71 nucleotides) under Parakneria cameronensis. Its description in RNAcentral is "tRNA-Val". It matches the Rfam family "tRNA". From Rfam's summary of the family: Transfer RNA (tRNA) molecules are approximately 80 nucleotides in length. Their secondary structure includes four short double-helical elements and three loops (D, anti-codon, and T loops). Further hydrogen bonds mediate the characteristic L-shaped molecular structure. tRNAs have two regions of fundamental functional importance: the anti-codon, which is responsible for specific mRNA codon recognition, and the 3' end, to which the tRNAs corresponding amino acid is attached (by aminoacyl-tRNA synthetases). tRNAs cope with the degeneracy of the genetic code in two manners: having more than one tRNA (with a specific anti-codon) for a particular amino acid; and 'wobble' base-pairing, i.e. permitting non-standard base-pairing at the 3rd anti-codon position. The record is from RNAcentral. Lineage: Eukaryota; Metazoa; Chordata; Actinopteri; Gonorynchiformes; Kneriidae.